AGCACAAGUGGUCGCACUAACCCACCAAAGAGGAGGUGUGAGGAGGAAGAAGGAAGUGUUGGCCUUCCUCCUAAGAGAAGGUGCAUUGCAUCUCAUCAGGCCCCUCUCCGAAGAUCCCAGAGGAUAAUACAAAAAAAUGCUGAUAGACUAGAGAGAGAUCAACAACAAUAACAACAACAACAACAACAACAACAACAACAACAACAACAACACCAACAACAACAACAGCAACAGCAUCAGCAGCAACAGCCUCAACAUCCCCAGCAACAACCCCAACCGGAACAGGAACCUGAUGUUAUGGAUUUAUUAUUAGAACUCUACUGGGCCAGAAUUGGAAAACAGCCGUACUGGCCAUGCCAAGUAGUUACAGAUGAGGAUGGUAAAUUUUACAAGAGGAAAAUUUGCUCCAACAAUGUCGUUAGGGUGUCACUCUAUGUGCGGUGGUUGGGGGAUGGGAGGCAUUCCUGGGUUGUCCUCUCCUAUUUGGUGCCCUUUGAGAGGGCACCAACCCCCCAACAGACACCCUACACAAUGUUGUAGGAUUAUGUCAUAACUUGUGCUUGGGCUGAGAGGCGAGACGGACAAUGGACAACGAGCGCAUCAAACAACGGUAAAGAGGACCGCUGCUUGCUGAAUCGGACGGAGCCUACACGGGGACCAGGACGACGCUGCAAGACUGGACCAACUCCACCACUGAGGGCAUCACCGACAACCACAGCCAAAAGACGACCUCUGUGCUGAACCUGAUCGCUCAAACAAACCAGUGUGCUUGGGCUGAGAGGCGAGACGGACAACGGACAACGAGCGCAUCAAACAACGGUGAAGAGGACCGCUGCGUGCUGAAUCGGACGGAGCCUACACGGGGACCAGGACGACGCUGCAAGACUGGACCAACUCCGCCGCUGAGGGCAUCACCGACAACCACGGCCAAAAGACGACCUCUGUGCUGAACCCGAUCGCUCAAACAAACCAGCACCUCAAAACCAAAGAAAAUGUGAAGGCCUGUAGAGUGCCAAGGAGGCUGGUGGCCAAAGUGGACGCAGCAGUGGAGGAGGCUCUGGAAAUGCAAGAUAUUUUCAUUUAAGUGAUGGUGAUUGGUUCCAUGGUGUUGAACGAGAUAGUGGUGGGACUUGCGGUGUCCUACCUGAGCGUCCUGAUGUGUGGCAUCGGUGUCCUGAUGGCGUGGCGUGGCUUCUCUCCCCUCCGCCAGCUGCCCACCUUCC
RNA transcript from Nilaparvata lugens (brown planthopper), 1223 nucleotides. RefSeq lists it as uncharacterized. The record is from RefSeq and is a predicted model, not a curated record. Lineage: Eukaryota; Metazoa; Arthropoda; Insecta; Hemiptera; Delphacidae. The transcript has 8 exons.